GAGACGCUAGUAAAACUAUUACACUUCCUUGUCAAGGCAGAAUGGCGGGUGGAACUCCCGCGCGUUUCG
Molecule: transfer RNA, 69 nt
Filed under: Trichonotus elegans (long-rayed sand-diver)
Lineage: Eukaryota; Metazoa; Chordata; Actinopteri; Gobiiformes; Trichonotidae
Also listed under: 1 other name
Description: tRNA-Asp
Source: RNAcentral